UUGUAGAGUGAUUUGUCUGGUUAGUCCUGAAAAAGAGCAAGAUAUCUGCCUCCCAAUAUGAUGCCGUGUCGCUUAUGUAGGGCAACCACUACAGGCUAAAUAGUGUAGUGUGCCUUUGGGUGUGCUGUGUUGCUGCAGAAUGGUGAACCGAGACUGCGGUACUUUACCUUCUCAGAGGCGCCAUGCACGCAUCCCAAGUGCAUGUA
Molecule: ribosomal RNA, 206 nt
Filed under: uncultured eukaryote
Lineage: Eukaryota
Description: partial 18S ribosomal RNA
Source: RNAcentral